Molecule: unclassified non-coding RNA, 1918 nt
Organism: Vespa mandarinia (Asian giant hornet)
Lineage: Eukaryota; Metazoa; Arthropoda; Insecta; Hymenoptera; Vespidae
Source: RefSeq, a predicted model, not a curated record
CCUAAAUUACUUUUAGUAGUUAACCAACCAGAUAGCCAUUAGCUAUCUAUUUUGGCUGAGCUAACAUCGAAGAUGUACAAUAUGUCUUUGCUCUACAUUUUUCUCUUCUUGAGUUGGUCCUCGGCAGCUGAAUUCUCACCAGUGAUACAAACUACCAAAGGACCGGUGAAGGGUCUCGUUUUGACGACCAUCAGAGAAUCUAAGAAAUAUCAUUCCUACAGAGGUAUCCCUUACGGCAAACCACCAAUUGGACAUCUUCGAUUUAGACCACCUGUCGAGGUAGAUCCAUGGACUAAAGAGUUCGAUGCUACAAAGGAUGGUCCUAUUUGUCCACAAAUGAAUAAUAACAAAUUCAUCGGCCAAGAGGAUUGUCUGAAUCUCAAUGUCUAUACGCCGCAGCUUCCUAAUGAUGGGAAAGACACUAAUCUUAAAGCUGUUAUGUAUUGGAUUCAUGGAGGAGCAUUCGUUUUUGGGGCAGCUUCGAAAUUUUAUUACUCUCCUGAUUAUCUGAUCGAAGAAGACAUCGUAGUCGUCACUGUUAAUUACCGGUUGGGUGCUCUUGGAUUUUUAGCGUUGCAACAUCAAAAUGCAACUGGCAAUGCAGGCCUAAAAGAUCAAAAUCUUGGUCUAAAAUGGGUUCGCGACAACAUAGCAAACUUUGGUGGUAAUCCAAACAAAGUAACGAUAGUUGGUGAAAGUUCUGGGGGCGUUAGUGUAGAUUUUCAUAUACUUUCAGAGAAAUCGAAAGGUCUAUUCCGUAGUUCAAUCGCUAUGAGUGGGGUGUCAUUAGCUUACUAUGCAUUCAGUACUCCAGAAGAUGCAACACAAACAGCUUACGAAUUCGCUAAGGAACUUGAUUCAACAGCAAUGAACGUUGACGAGUUACUUGAAUUUUAUUAUAAAGUCGAUGUAGAAAAUUUGACUAGAACAAUUUCAAACACAACGAAAAUGGAUAUUCCCUUGAAGCCAACUCUGGAAAAUCCAAAUUACGGUCCAGAUUGGUUCUUAACCGAAUGUUCGUUAAAGAGAUACGGAUCUGGAAAUUAUAAUCACGGAUCUCAUAUGUUAGGCUAUACCAAAGACGAAGUUAUUUCAUUCAUAGAUACAAUGGAAGGUAUUCUCGAUUCUGUGAAAUUUUCUUGGACAUACGCUUUACAACUUGGAAUUACAAAAAUCGACAUGCCAAAUAUAGAGUAUGGUAUAACGAAUGCCACCUUACGUCAAAUCAUAAAGACUGCUACGGAAAUUACACAAAUAUCUCCUAUAAAUUACAAGCAAAAAUUAAUGGCAAAAUUCGACGAUCCCAUUUAUUAUUAUCGAUAUGAUUUCUUUUAUAACAAAUCGCUACACAAAAUUCUAUUUGGCAUUGAUAUGGACGGUGCUGCACAUGUUGAUGAAAUAGAAAUGAUAUUUCAUUCAGAUUUAUUCCAAGUAAAUCCGAAUGUAAAGAACAGGAUGACGCUGUUACAAAAAAGGAUGACACGUAUGUGGGCAAAUUUUAUUAAAUACGGAAAUCCAACUCCAAAUGGUACCAACGAUACUUUACUAAACGUUGUUUGGCCAAAUUCGAAAGAAUCUGGUAAAAUGUUGUGGUUAAACGAUGAUUUGGAAAUACAUGAUCGAUACAAGAGUCAAGACAUCACUAUGAUCGAAACUGGGUUACAAUUAAACGGUGGACCAAGAGACGGAUGUAAUACGAAAUGGAAAAAAUAACAUACAAGAACGUUACUCGCCCAGAAUUAAGAAGAAAAUCCGUUCUUGUAUAAUUACAUCGUCCGAAAAAAAGUUGGUCCUCGGCAACUGAAUUCUCACCAGUGAUACAAACUACCAAAGGACCGGUGAAGGGUCUCGUUUUGACGACCAUCAGAGAAUCUAAGAAAUAUCAUUCCUACAGAGGUAUCCCUUACGGCAAACCACC